GAGGGGGACCUACGUCGUGCUGGCGAUGGGGAUCUACGCCAGCUUGGUGAUGGUGACCUGCGUCGCAUGGAUAAGGGUGAUCUACGCCGAGGAGGUGACAAAUAUCUACGGCGUCGACUAAUGGAGGGGGACCUACGACGUCGAAUAGGUGAUGGUGACCUGCGUCGUCGAAUAGGUGAUGGUGAUCUACGUCGAUAAGGAGAACGUAGUUUUCGUCGUAGCGGAGAUGGUGAUUUCCAAGGUGACCUAGAUCUUCUCUUAGAAUAUGAUGACCUUCGUCUUGAAGGAGAAACAGAGGCCCGUGGUGAACCCCUACGACGUGGUGUAAUAGAUUGCUUUCUU
This 342-nucleotide long non-coding RNA is filed under the name Carica papaya (papaya). RNAcentral's name for it is "long non-coding RNA (CPAP_LNC007363)". The record is from RNAcentral. Lineage: Eukaryota; Viridiplantae; Streptophyta; Magnoliopsida; Brassicales; Caricaceae.